RNAcentral lists this transfer RNA (82 nucleotides) under Mayetiola destructor (Hessian fly). RNAcentral's name for it is "tRNA-Ser for anticodon GCU". It matches the Rfam family "tRNA". Rfam says of the family: Transfer RNA (tRNA) molecules are approximately 80 nucleotides in length. Their secondary structure includes four short double-helical elements and three loops (D, anti-codon, and T loops). Further hydrogen bonds mediate the characteristic L-shaped molecular structure. tRNAs have two regions of fundamental functional importance: the anti-codon, which is responsible for specific mRNA codon recognition, and the 3' end, to which the tRNAs corresponding amino acid is attached (by aminoacyl-tRNA synthetases). tRNAs cope with the degeneracy of the genetic code in two manners: having more than one tRNA (with a specific anti-codon) for a particular amino acid; and 'wobble' base-pairing, i.e. permitting non-standard base-pairing at the 3rd anti-codon position. Lineage: Eukaryota; Metazoa; Arthropoda; Insecta; Diptera; Cecidomyiidae. The record is from RNAcentral.
GACGAGGUGGCCGAGUGGUUAAGGCGUUGGACUGCUAAUCCAAUGGGAUCUUCCCGCGUGAGUUCGAAUCUCAUCCUCGUCG